GAUGAACGCUGGCGGCGUGCCUAAUACAUGCAAGUCGAGCGAACAGACGAGGAGCUUGCUCCUCUGACGUUAGCGGCGGACGGGUGAGUAACACGUGGAUAACCUACCUAUAAGACUGGGAUAACUUCGGGAAACCGGAGCUAAUACCGGAUAAUAUAUUGAACCGCAUGGUUCAAUAGUGAAAGACGGUUUUGCUGUCACUUAUAGAUGGAUCCGCGCCGCAUUAGCUAGUUGGUAAGGUAACGGCUUACCAAGGCAACGAUGCGUAGCCGACCUGAGGGGGUGAUCGGCCACACUGGAACUGAGACGCGGUCCAGACUCCUACGGGAGGCAGCAGUAGGGAAUCGGCCGCAAGGGGCGAAAGCCUGACGGAGCAACGCCGCGUGAGUGAUGAAGGUCUUCGGAUCGUAAAACUCUGUUAUUAGGGAAGAACAAAUGUGUAAGUAACUAUGCACGUCUUGACGGUACCUAAUCAGAAAGCCACGGCUAACUACG
Molecule: ribosomal RNA, 495 nt
Filed under: uncultured bacterium
Lineage: Bacteria
Description: partial 16S ribosomal RNA
Rfam family: Bacterial small subunit ribosomal RNA
Source: RNAcentral